Molecule: ribosomal RNA, 460 nt
Filed under: uncultured bacterium
Lineage: Bacteria
Description: partial 16S ribosomal RNA
Rfam family: Bacterial small subunit ribosomal RNA
Source: RNAcentral
CCUACGGGUGGCAGCAGUGAGGAAUAUUGGUCAAUGGACGAGAGUCUGAACCAGCCAAGUAGCGUGAAGGAUGACUGCCCUAUGGGUUGUAAACUUCUUUUAUAUGGGAAUAAAAUGUUCCACGUGUGGGAUUUUGUAUGUACCAUAUGAAUAAGGAUCGGCUAACUCCGUGCCAGCAGCCGCGGUAAUACGGAGGAUCCGAGCGUUAGCCGGAUUUAUUGGGUUUAAAGGGAGCGUAGGUGGAUUGUUAUGUCAGUUGUGAAAGUUUGCGGCUCAACCGUAAAAUGGCAGUUGAAACUGGCAGUCUUGAGUACAGUAGAGGUGGGCGGAAUUCGUGGUGUAGCGGUGAAAUGCUUAGAUAUCACGAAGAACUCCGAUUGCGAAGGCAGUUCACUGGACUGCAACUGACACUGAGGCUCGAAAGUGUGGGUAUCAAACAGGAUUAGAUACCCCAGUAGUC